Molecule: ribosomal RNA, 629 nt
Filed under: Staphylococcus aureus
Lineage: Bacteria; Bacillati; Bacillota; Bacilli; Caryophanales; Staphylococcaceae
Description: partial 23S ribosomal RNA
Rfam family: Bacterial large subunit ribosomal RNA
Source: RNAcentral
GAUGGGGAGAAGACAUUGUGUCUUCGAGUCGUUGAUUUCACACUGCCGAGAAAAGCCUCUAGAUAGAAAAUAGGUGCCCGUACCGCAAACCGACACAGGUAGUCAAGAUGAGAAUUCUAAGGUGAGCGAGCGAACUCUCGUUAAGGAACUCGGCAAAAUGACCCCGUAACUUCGGGAGAAGGGGUGCUCUUUAGGGUUAACGCCCAGAAGAGCCGCAGUGAAUAGGCCCAAGCGACUGUUUAUCAAAAACACAGGUCUCUGCUAAACCGUAAGGUGAUGUAUAGGGGCUGACGCCUGCCCGGUGCUGGAAGGUUAAGAGGAGUGGUUAGCUUCUGCGAAGCUACGAAUCGAAGCCCCAGUAAACGGCGGCCGUAACUAUAACGGUCCUAAGGUAGCGAAAUUCCUUGUCGGGUAAGUUCCGACCCGCACGAAAGGCGUAACGAUUUGGGCACUGUCUCAACGAGAGACUCGGUGAAAUCAUAGUACCUGUGAAGAUGCAGGUUACCCGCGACAGGACGGAAAGACCCCGUGGAGCUUUACUGUAGCCUGAUAUUGAAAUUCGGCACAGCUUGUACAGGAUAGGUAGGAGCCUUUGAAACGUGAGCGCUAGCUUACGUGGAGGCGCUGGU